Molecule: long non-coding RNA, 322 nt
Filed under: Vombatus ursinus (common wombat)
Lineage: Eukaryota; Metazoa; Chordata; Mammalia; Diprotodontia; Vombatidae
Description: lncRNA (ENSVURG00010015494.1)
Source: RNAcentral
AACAUUAUUGUGUAUUUGUCAUUAUUUAAAAAAAACUUAAUAUUUACAUGACUUUCUCUUUCAGCAAGGAAUGUGAUAACAACGAACUGCAACAAAAAUUGGCCAAGACCAUUUUGGAAAUUAUGAAUUAUAAUGGGAAGCCCCAAUGUGUCAGACACUCCCCAAAGUGGAAGACGACUCAUCUAGCGACAGUGGUGGCAAGUCUCUUUAAGCUAUAAACCUGAAAUUAUCGAAGACAUCUUGUCUAACGAGAAUGGUAAGUUUCUUCACUUUAUUUUUGUUCCUGCUGAUUUCAUAUUGGAGGAACAGUGAGAGUCAAUAC